ACCAAAUUGAAAUAUUAAAAUCAGACAGAGAAGCUUUCAAGACUUCGAACUGACAAGCAGUGGCGCUCCUUCCCUCGUCAACGGCUUUGUCUUCUUCCUUUCUCUCCUUCCCUUCCCCUUCUUCCCCAACCUCCCCUCCCCGUUCUGAAUUCCCAUCUCCUUCUUGCGUUUGCCUGUAUAUAUCACACACCAAACACCCUUCGGAGGCCGUGAGGUCGGAAGAAAGGGGAGCCACCUUUGACUCCUCUCUCUGCUAGUUCUUGAGGGGAUUUCGGGUGGUACCAGAGGAUUAAUUAGUGGAUUUGUAUUCUUGGAGAUACAAGUUCUUGGAGAGGCUGCUAGUUCUUGGAGAGUUUUUCCUUUUCUUGUCCUUAGAGAGAUUCAUGCCCAGGAGUUCACCCUGAGGAGCUGGUAUUGUUCUGUCUUCUGUCUGAGGGUUAGCGUGAGAGGAUCCACCUUUGAGUUGACCGACCAGAAUUCUUGAAACAAAUUUUGUUGGUUUUUGCGUGGAUCGGUCGUUAGGUUCGUUGAUGUUUGCUCAGUUCUACUAGUUGCAAGGACGGCUGGGGCACCUUGUGUGGAGAGAAUUUUGGUGCUUCUCUCAAGAACCGUUGGGGCAAAUUAGCCCCCUCGUUUCUUG
This 640-nucleotide ribosomal RNA is filed under the name Triticum aestivum (bread wheat). RNAcentral describes it as "partial small subunit ribosomal RNA". The record is from RNAcentral. Lineage: Eukaryota; Viridiplantae; Streptophyta; Magnoliopsida; Poales; Poaceae.